GACGAACGCUGGCGGCGUGCUUAACACAUGCAAGUCGAACGGAAAGGCCCUGCUUUUGUGGGGUGCUCGAGUGGCGAACGGGUGAGUAACACGUGAGUAACCUGCCCUUGACUUUGGGAUAACUUCAGGAAACUGGGGCUAAUACCGGAUAGGAGCUCCUGCUGCAUGGUGGGGGUUGGAAAGUUUCGGCGGUUGGGGAUGGACUCGCGGCUUAUCAGCUUGUUGGUGGGGUAGUGGCUUACCAAGGCUUUGACGGGUAGGCGGCCUGGGAGGGUGACCGGCCACAUUGGGACUGAGAUACGGCCCAGACUCCUACGGGCGGCAGCAGUGGGGAAUAUUGCGCAAUGGGCGGACGCCUGAUGCAGCAACGCCGCGUGCGGGAUGACGGCCUUCGGGUUGUAAACCGCUUUCGCCUGUGACGAAGCGUGAGUGACGGUAAUGGGUAAAGAAGCACCGGCUAACUACGUG
This 468-nucleotide ribosomal RNA is filed under the name uncultured bacterium. Its description in RNAcentral is "partial 16S ribosomal RNA". It matches the Rfam family "Bacterial small subunit ribosomal RNA", at positions 28 to 507 of the family's 1533-position model. The record is from RNAcentral.